AGUUCUACAGUCUGACGCUGUAAUACUACUUAGCAUUAAGCAGGUGUUUUGGUGUUCUGCAGAGCAUGAACUAAAUAUGGUUGUUUAGAAACCCAUAAACUUUUGUAGUGU
Chiroxiphia lanceolata (lance-tailed manakin) is the source of this 111-nucleotide long non-coding RNA. RefSeq lists it as uncharacterized. The record is from RefSeq and is a predicted model, not a curated record. The transcript has 3 exons. Lineage: Eukaryota; Metazoa; Chordata; Aves; Passeriformes; Pipridae.